RNAcentral lists this ribosomal RNA (429 nucleotides) under uncultured bacterium. RNAcentral describes it as "bacterial SSU rRNA". It matches the Rfam family "Bacterial small subunit ribosomal RNA", at positions 355 to 776 of the family's 1533-position model. The record is from RNAcentral.
UGGGGAAUUUUGGACAAUGGGCGCAAGCCUGAUCCAGCAAUGCCGCGUGAGUGAAGAAGGCCUUCGGGUUGUAAAGCUCUUUUGUCAGGGAAGAAACGGCUGCGGCUAAUAUCUGCGGCUAAUGACGGUACCUGAAGAAUAAGCACCGGCUAACUACGUGCCAGCAGCCGCGGUAAUACGUAGGGUGCAAGCGUUAAUCGGAAUUACUGGGCGUAAAGCGUGCGCAGGCGGUUUUGUAAGUCUGUCGUGAAAGCCCCGGGCUCAACCUGGGAAUUGCGAUGGAGACUGCAAGGCUUGAAUCUGGCAGAGGGGGGUAGAAUUCCACGUGUAGCAGUGAAAUGCGUAGAGAUGUGGAGGAACACCGAUGGCGAAGGCAGCCCCCUGGGUCAAGAUUGACGCUCAUGCACGAAAGCGUGGGGAGCAAACAGG